Molecule: non-coding RNA, 305 nt
Organism: Chlorocebus sabaeus (green monkey)
Lineage: Eukaryota; Metazoa; Chordata; Mammalia; Primates; Cercopithecidae
Rfam family: Metazoan signal recognition particle RNA
About the family: The signal recognition particle (SRP) is a universally conserved ribonucleoprotein. It is involved in the co-translational targeting of proteins to membranes.
Source: Rfam
GCCAGAUGUGACAGCAUGUGCCUGUAAUCCCAGCUACUCAGGAGGCUGAGGCAGGAGGAUCGCUUGAGCCCUGGAGUUCUGGGCUGUAGUGCGUGCACUAUGUGGAUCGACUGUCCACACUCAGUUUGGCAUCAGUAUGGUGACCUCCUGGGAGCAAGGGACCACCAGAUUGCCUAAAGAUGGCUGAAAUGAUCCAGGUCGAAAAUGGAGUAGGUCAAAACUUCUGUGCUGAUCAGUAACAGCAUUGUGUCUGUGAAUAACCACUGCACUCAAGCCUGGGCAACAUAGCGAGACCCUGGUCUCUU